This 24-nucleotide non-coding RNA is filed under the name Arabidopsis thaliana (thale cress). Lineage: Eukaryota; Viridiplantae; Streptophyta; Magnoliopsida; Brassicales; Brassicaceae. The record is from RNAcentral.
UAUACACAUCCACGUUGGCCGCAA